Molecule: long non-coding RNA, 1894 nt
Filed under: Salmo salar (Atlantic salmon)
Lineage: Eukaryota; Metazoa; Chordata; Actinopteri; Salmoniformes; Salmonidae
Description: lncRNA (ENSSSAG00000102414.1)
Source: RNAcentral
GAAACUGAUGCUUCGACAUUCUCCACCAGGUCCAAAGAGGCCAACGGUGCUGUCUAAAAUCUCCCAAGAUUCCUUUUCUGAAGUUGCUCUUGCAAUGUCGCUCACAAUCCACACAGCAGAGCAGUUUCCAACAAACUGUAGAAGUAUAACGUUAACUAAGAACGUUCCAACAGUAAAGUCUCCAUUGCCUGGAAGAUCAACCAGCACAACAUGCUCCAGCAGGUCUUUGGAGUUUGGCACCUUGAUGGUUAUACACUUCACAAGCGGCCAAUACUGUCUUUUAAAUGUAUCACUCUGUGUGUCACUCCGUGUGUAACAAGUUAUCCUUUCAGAGAGUUCUUCAGCCUGCAAUUGUAAUAAAGCAUCAUUACAUGCAUUGGUGAAAAACAAAAUAUCUUAAAAUAACACUUGACAAAUAUCAUGGAACCUAACAGAGUAGUAAGUUGCAAUCAGAACUGGUUGCCGACCUAAAAUGUUUUUGUUAACCAAAUAAUUUUUCAUGAAAGCACACAAUCUUCACGGAAGUGAACUAGCAUGACACUGUCACUUACUGUGUCACAUAGAAAUAUUUUCUUGACUGAUAAACGAAACUCUGGAAUUUCACUGAAGUGCCUCCUGUCCAUUAAUUCUUCUAAGGUUGCCCCACGUCCAUCUUUUCCAUACAAAGCUGAUAUCUUUUCAUCAUCGUCAUCAUCAUCCCUUUCCUGGUCUUCAUCAUUUCCAUCCUCAUAAGAUCUGUCUCUGAAGAUGGACCAUAGCUCUUCUUUCCAUUCCUAAUAAAAAUGUCAAACCAUAACAAAUGUGUAGUACAUACUGUAUCUCAGUGUUAUGAAACAACCUAGACAGCCUACUUCUAAUGCUACACUAGCAAUGCAAUGUCUAGGGGUCCAAGGCCAUAUGGAAUUGUUUUAAGUCAUACCAUGGAUCAUUUAGCAGUUUUUUCUUCUUCUUUUAACUAUGUAUAAAAAAAUAUAUAAAAACAUUAUUUGGCACAAAACUACUUCCAUCCAUUUUUUUUAACCAGUACAGGGUUACAUUCAGACAAGUCUUAUAAAGCUUGUGGACGCUGUUGUAUGUGUUCAUGAGAGUCUCAGCUUUCGAUGGAGGGGUGAUAUUAAUUUAUAGCCCAAACCGUUUGGACUCUACAGACAGAAGUUGGCACAUCGGCGGUAUCGACUUCAGAUGAGUCUUGUGAAGCUUGUAGGGGUCGUAGAGCAAACCGGAGAACACCAUCACGUUUUUAGCCCUACCGUUCGGACGCUACAGACAUUUUCAUGAGAAGAACAAUUUUCGGGAUGUCUUCUGAUCUGAUAAACAAUGUUGUAGCUCUGCCUCCUUCCACCGAAGAUGCGGAAGGCCGACAUCGGCGCGGUGGAUUGAGACGCAGCCCAUGCACAAAACCAGAUAUCUUUAGCUUAAACAGACAGAUGUUGAUGGGGUUUUUAUUAUGCUAAUUAGAUUGACUCAUGGGCAUGCCAAUCGACAAGCCUGGCACAGCACCUGGACCCGGUUGCUACGGCCCCAAGGGAUGAGGUGUGGAAGUGUUGUGUCUAUCUGUGACCUACCACUAAUAUACCUAUCUAUUCCAUAACAGCUGGAACACACUCCCAAUUGAGUAUCCAAAACACAUGCUGUAUAAGAAACUGCACACUCUGACCCCAUUUACACCUUGCAUUAUCCCUAUCUGAACAGCUGUGAUAGGAUUACAUUUCAAACGUUGUCCUCUCAUUUACAUGCAAUUACACCUGCUAUUACUCGCAAUUACACUUGUGUUCGGAUCUCACUUUUCCCUCCCAUUUAAGACAUCCGUAAGCUUGGUGUGACUGUAUGGGCAUAGCAAACCAUUGGAUAUUCCCUUAAAUAUUUUGAUGUGCAACCUGGAAUAAAAAAUUAA